AGCAAAAAGGUACGCAUAAAUGUAAAGAUAGGGAAAAGGCAAAACGAAAAUGGAAAAAUAUAUUUUGCCUUUCGCCUAUUUAAAGAUUUUCGGUUGUAAACUCUGAUUGUUUUCAUUAUUUCAUUUGUCCACACGACCUUCGAUCUACUUUCAAAAACUU
Molecule: non-coding RNA, 160 nt
Filed under: Ditylum brightwellii
Lineage: Eukaryota; Bacillariophyta; Thalassiosirophyceae; Lithodesmiales; Lithodesmiaceae
Source: RNAcentral